This 439-nucleotide ribosomal RNA is filed under the name uncultured bacterium. RNAcentral describes it as "partial 16S ribosomal RNA". It matches the Rfam family "Bacterial small subunit ribosomal RNA", at positions 338 to 795 of the family's 1533-position model. The record is from RNAcentral.
CCUACGGGGGGCAGCAGUGGGGAAUAUUGCACAAUGCGCGAAAGCCUGAUGCAGCGACGCCGCGUGAGCGAUGAAGGCCUUCGGGUCGUAAAGCUCUGUCCUCAAGGAAGAUAAUGACGGUACUUGAGGAGGAAGCCCCGGCAAACUCCGUGCCAGCAGCCGCGGUAAUACGUAGGGGGCUAGCGUUAUCCGGAAGUACUGGGCGAAAAGGGUGCGUGGGUGGUUUCUAAAGUCAGAGGUGAAAGGCUAAGGCUAAACCGUAGUAAGCCUUUGAAACUGGGGAACUUGAGUGCAGGAGAGGAGAGUGGAAUUCCUAGUGUAGCGGUGAAAUGCGUAGAUAUUAGGAGGAACACCAGUUGCGAAGGCGGCUCUCUGGACUGUAACUGACACUGAGGCACGAAAGCGUGGGGAGCAAACAGGAUUAAAUACCCUGGUAGUC